GUAGUUUAAUAUUUAUGAGACGGAUCAGGAUAAAGAACGAACCGUGAUUGAUGAAGAGACUUUUGUUUCUAAAAGUUUGAUCAGACUCGAAACUGGAAAACUACAGGCUCAGCUGUGAUGUGUACAUGUAAAAGCGUACAGUACAUUGUACACAGAAACAUUCACAAUUCGUAAAAUAGAGAUUAUAAAAUAAAUCAAUUAUUGUAAAUGAUAAGAGAUACAUACGCAUGUUUUACAAAUAAAUCUUUCUUACCUAAUACCUAUGCAAUAAAAAAAUGUAAAUAUAGCUGUCUGUUUCUAUCAUAUGUAUUCUUACAGGUUGAAAAAAUAAAGUCACUGCUUAGCA
Molecule: long non-coding RNA, 346 nt
Organism: Eurytemora carolleeae
Lineage: Eukaryota; Metazoa; Arthropoda; Copepoda; Calanoida; Temoridae
Exons: 3
Source: RefSeq, a predicted model, not a curated record